Molecule: ribosomal RNA, 439 nt
Filed under: Corynebacterium sp. oral taxon B00
Lineage: Bacteria; Bacillati; Actinomycetota; Actinomycetes; Mycobacteriales; Corynebacteriaceae
Description: bacterial SSU rRNA
Rfam family: Bacterial small subunit ribosomal RNA
Source: RNAcentral
GACGAACGCUGGCGGCGUGCUUAAACACAUGCAAGUCGAACCGGAAAAGGCCCCCACCUUUGGUGGGGGUGCUCGAGUGGCGAACGGGUGAGUAACACGUGGGUGAUCUGCCCUGCACUUCGGGAUAAGCUUGGGAAACUGGGUCUAAUACCGGAUAGGACCAUGGUUUAGUGUCUCAUGGUGGAAAAAUUAUUGUUUUGGUGCAGGAUGAGCUCGCGGCCUAUCAGCUUGUUGGUGGGGUAAUGGCCUACCAAGGCGUCGACGGGUAGCCGGCCUGAGAGGGUGGACGGCCACAUUGGGACUGAGAUACGGCCCAGACUCCUACGGGAGGCAGCAGUGGGGAAUAUUGCACAAUGGGCGCAAGCCUGAUGCAGCGACGCCGCGUGGGGGAUGACGGCCUUCGGGUUGUAAACUCCUUUCGUUAGGGACGAAGCCGCAC